AUGAGGCGAACCGGGGGAACUGAAACAUCUAAGUACCCCGAGGAAAAGAAAUCAACCGAGAUUCCCCCAGUAGCGGCGAGCGAACGGGGAGGAGCCCAGAGCCUGAAUCAGCAUGUGUGUUAGUGGAAGCGUCUGGAAAGGCGCGCGAUACAGGGUGACAGCCCCGUACACAAAAGCGCAUGUGCUGUGAGCUCGAUGAGUAGGGCGGGACACGUGGUAUCCUGUCUGAAUAUGGGGGGACCAUCCUCCAAGGCUAAAUACUCCUGACUGACCGAUAGUGAACCAGUACCGUGAGGGAAAGGCGAAAAGAACCCCGGCGAGGGGAGUGAAAAAGAACCUGAAACCGUGUACGUACAAGCAGUGGGAGCACCCUUUUGGGUGUGACUGCGUACCUUUUGUAUAAUGGGUCAGCGACUUAUAUUCUGUAGCAAGGUUAACCGAAUAGGGGAGCCGGAGGGAAACCGAGUCUUAAUUGGGCGUUAAGUUGCAGGGUAUAGACCCGAAACCCGGUGAUCUAGCCAUGGGCAGGUUGAAGGUUGGGUAACACUAACUGGAGGACCGAACCGACUAAUGUUGAAAAAUUAGCGGAUGACCUGUGGCUGGGGGUGAAAGGCCAAUCAAACCGGGAGAUAGCUGGUUCUCCCCGAAAGCUAUUUAGGUAGCGCCUCGUGAAUUCAUCUCCGGGGGUAGAGCACUGUUUCGGCUAGGGGGCCAUCCCGGCUUACCAACCCGAUGCAAACUGCGAAUACCGGAGAAUGUUAUCACGGGAGACACACGGCGGGUGCUAACGUCCGUCGUGAAGAGGGAAACAACCCAGACCGCCAGCUAAGGUCCCAAAGUCAUGGUUAAGUGGGAAACGAUGUGGGAAGGCCCAGACAGCCAGGAUGUUGGCUUAGAAGCAGCCAUCAUUUAAAGAAAGCGUAAUAGCUCACUGGUCGAGUCGGCCUGCGCGGAAGAUGUAACGGGGCUAAACCAUGCACCGAAGCUGCGGCAGCGACGCUGAUGCGUUGUUGGGUAGGGGAGCGUUCUGUAAGCCUGCGAAGGUGGCCUGUGAGGGUUGCUGGAGGUAUCAGAAGUGCGAAUGCUGACAUAAGUAACGAUAAAGCGGGUGAAAAGCCCGCUCGCCGGAAGACCAAGGGUUCCUGUCCAACGUUAAUCGGGGCAGGGUGAGUCGACCCCUAAGGCGAGGCCGAAAGGCGUAGUCGAUGGGAAACGGGUUAAUAUUCCCGUACUUGGUGUUACUGCGAAGGGGGGACGGAGAAGGCUAUGUUGGCCGGGCGACGGUUGUCCCGGUUUAAGCGUGUAGGUGUGUGUUCCAGGUAAAUCCGGUUCACUUUAACACUGAGGCGUGACGACGAGGCACUACGGUGCUGAAGCAACAAAUGCCCUGCUUCCAGGAAAAGCCUCUAAGCAUCAGGUAACAUCAAAUCGUACCCCAAACCGACACAGGUGGUCAGGUAGAGAAUACCAAGGCGCUUGAGAGAACUCGGGUGAAGGAACUAGGCAAAAUGGUGCCGUAACUUCGGGAGAAGGCACGCUGACACGUAGGUGAAGUGAUUUACUCACGGAGCUGAAGUCAGUCGAAGAUACCAGCUGGCUGCAACUGUUUAUUAAAAACACAGCACUGUGCAAACACGAAAGUGGACGUAUACGGUGUGACGCCUGCCCGGUGCCGGAAGGUUAAUUGAUGGGGUCAGCGCAAGCGAAGCUCCUGAUCGAAGCCCCGGUAAACGGCGGCCGUAACUAUAACGGUCCUAAGGUAGCGAAAUUCCUUGUCGGGUAAGUUCCGACCUGCACGAAUGGCGUAAUGAUGGCCAGGCUGUCUCCACCCGAGACUCAGUGAAAUUGAACUCGCUGUGAAGAUGCAGUGUACCCGCGGCAAGACGGAAAGACCCCGUGAACCUUUACUAUAGCUUGACACUGAACAUUGAGCCUUGAUGUGUAGGAUAGGUGGGAGGCUUUGAAGCGUGGACGCCAGUCUGCGUGGAGCCGACCUUGAAAUACCACCCUUUAAUGUUUGAUGUUCUAACGUGGACCCGUUACCCGGGUUGCGGACAGUGUCUGGUGGGUAGUUUGACUGGGGCGGUCUCCUCCUAAAGAGUAACGGAGGAGCACGAAGGUUGGCUAAUCCUGGUCGGACAUCAGGAGGUUAGUGCAAUGGCAUAAGCCAGCUUGACUGCGAGCGUGACGGCGCGAGCAGGUGCGAAAGCAGGUCAUAGUGAUCCGGUGGUUCUGAAUGGAAGGGCCAUCGCUCAACGGAUAAAAGGUACUCCGGGGAUAACAGGCUGAUACCGCCCAAGAGUUCAUAUCGACGGCGGUGUUUGGCACCUCGAUGUCGGCUCAUCACAUCCUGGGGCUGAAGUAGGUCCCAAGGGUAUGGCUGUUCGCCAUUUAAAGUGGUACGCGAGCUGGGUUUAGAACGUCGUGAGACAGUUCGGUCCCUAUCUGCCGUGGGCGCUGGAGAACUGAGGGGGGCUGCUCCUAGUACGAGAGGACCGGAGUGGACGCAUCACUGGUGUUCGGGUUGUCAUGCCAAUGGCACUGCCCGGUAGCUAAAUGCGGAAGAGAUAAGUGCUGAAAGCAUCUAAGCACGAAACUUGCCCCGA
This 2606-nucleotide ribosomal RNA is filed under the name Salmonella enterica. RNAcentral describes it as "partial 23S ribosomal RNA". It matches the Rfam family "Bacterial large subunit ribosomal RNA", at positions 174 to 2802 of the family's 2925-position model. Lineage: Bacteria; Pseudomonadati; Pseudomonadota; Gammaproteobacteria; Enterobacterales; Enterobacteriaceae. The record is from RNAcentral. RNAcentral also lists the same sequence under 2 other names.